CCUACGGGUGGCAGCAGUGAGGAAUAUUGGUCAAUGGACGCAAGUCUGAACCAGCCAUGCCGCGUGCAGGAAGACGGCUCUAUGAGUUGUAAACUGCUUUUGUACGGGGGUAAACGCAGAUACGCGUAUCUUUCUGAAUGUAUCGUACGAAUAAGGAUCGGCUAACUCCGUGCCAGCAGCCGCGGUAAUACGGAGGAUUCAAGCGUUAUCCGGAUUUAUUGGGUUUAAAGGGAGCGUAGGCGGUCGGAUAAGUUAGAGGUGAAAUCCCGAGGCUCAACUUCGGAAUUGCAUCUGAUACUGGUCGGCUAGAGAGUAGUAGCGGUAGGCGGAAUGUAUGGUGUAGCGGUGAAAUGCUUAGAGAUCAUGCAGAACACCGAUUGCGAAGGCAGCUCAC
RNAcentral lists this ribosomal RNA (394 nucleotides) under uncultured bacterium. Its description in RNAcentral is "partial 16S ribosomal RNA". It matches the Rfam family "Bacterial small subunit ribosomal RNA", at positions 338 to 729 of the family's 1533-position model. The record is from RNAcentral.